Molecule: ribosomal RNA, 1095 nt
Filed under: Lactobacillus kefiranofaciens
Lineage: Bacteria; Bacillati; Bacillota; Bacilli; Lactobacillales; Lactobacillaceae
Description: bacterial SSU rRNA
Rfam family: Bacterial small subunit ribosomal RNA
Source: RNAcentral
UGGCGGCGCGUUAUACAUGCAGUCGAGCGAGCGGAACCAGCAGAAUCACUUCGGUGAGGACGCUGGGAAAGUGAGCGGCGGAUGGGUGAGUAACACGUGGGGAACCUGCCCUUAAGUCUGGGAUACCACUUGGAAACAGGUGCUAAUACCGGAUAAGAAAGCAGUUCGCAUGAACAGCUUUUAAAAGGCGGCGCAAGCUGUCGCUAAAGGAUGGACCCGCGGUGCAUUAGCUAGUUGGUAAGGUAACGGCCUACCAAGGCAGUGAUGCAUAGCCGAGUUGAGAGACUGAUCGGCCACAUUGGGACUGAGACACGGCCCAAACUCCUACGGGAGGCAGCAGUAGGGAAUCUUCCACAAUGGACGCAAGUCUGAUGGAGCAACGCCGCGUGAGUGAAGAAGGUUUUCGGACCGUAAAGCUCUGUUGUUGGUGAAGAAGGAUAGAGGUAGUAACUGGCCUUUAUUUGACGGUAAUCAACCAGAAAGUCACGGCUAACUACGUGCCAGCAGCCGCGGUAAUACGUAGGUGGCAAGCGUUGUCCGGAUUUAUUGGGCGUAAAGCGAGCGCAGGCGGAAGAAUAAGUCUGAUGUGAAAGCCCUCGGCUUAACCGAGGAAUUGCAUCGGAAACUGUUUUUCUUGAGUGCAGAAGAGGAGAGUAGAACUCCAUGUGUAGCGGUGGAAUGCGUAGAUAUAUGGAAGAAUACCAGUGGCGAAGGCGGCUCUCUGGUCUGCAACUGACGCUGAGGCUCGAAAGCAUGGGUAGCGAACAGGAUUAGAUACCCUGGUAGUCCAUGCCGUAAACGAUGAGUGCUAAGUGUUGGGAGGCUUCCGCCUCUCAGUGCUGCAGCUAACGCAUUAAGCACUCCGCCUGGGGAGUACGACCGCAAGGUUGAAACUCAAAGGAAUUGACGGGGGCCCGCACAAGCGGUGGAGCAUGUGGUUUAAUUCGAAGCAACGCGAAGAACCUUACCAGGUCUUGACAUCUAGUGCCAUUUGUAGAGAUACAAAGUUCCCUUCGGGGACGCUAAGACAGGUGGUGCAUGGCUGUCGUCAGCUCGUGUCGUGAGAUGUGGNUAAGUCCCGCAACGAGCGCAACC